GUCCACGCCGUAAACGAUGGAUACUUGAUGUUGGAGGUUUUGACCCCUUCAGUGUCGCAGCUAACGCGGUAAGUAUCCCGCCUGGGGAGUACGGUCGCAAGAUUAAAACUCAAAGAAAUUGACGGGGGCCCGCACAAGCAGUGGAGCAUGUGGUUCAAUUCGAUGCAACGCGAAAACCUUACCUGGGUUCGAAGUGUAGUGGAAGACAGUAGAGAUAUUGUCGCUCGCAAGAGUCGCUACAUAGGUGCUGCAUGGCUGUCGU
RNAcentral lists this ribosomal RNA (262 nucleotides) under uncultured bacterium. RNAcentral describes it as "partial 16S ribosomal RNA". It matches the Rfam family "Bacterial small subunit ribosomal RNA", at positions 793 to 1055 of the family's 1533-position model. The record is from RNAcentral.